This 425-nucleotide ribosomal RNA is filed under the name uncultured archaeon. Its description in RNAcentral is "partial 16S ribosomal RNA". It matches the Rfam family "Archaeal small subunit ribosomal RNA", at positions 323 to 746 of the family's 1478-position model. The record is from RNAcentral.
CUACGGGUGGCUGCAGUCGGGAAACUUUUACAAUGCGCGAAAGCGUGGUAGAGCUAGUCAGAGUGCAUUCCUAAUAUUUGGAAUGCUUUUAUGGGAUGUAAAAAUUCUCAUGAAUAAGGACCGGGCAAGACUGGUGCCAGCCGCCGCGGUAAUACCAGCGGUCCAAGUCGCAGCCACAAUUAUUGGGUCUAAAACAUCCGUAGCUUGUUUAGUAAGUCUCUUGUGAAAUCUGGCCUCUCAAGGGUCAGGCUUGCAGGAGAUACUGCUUUGCUAGAGACCGGGAGACGUAAGGAGUAUGAAUGGGGUAGCGGUCAAAUGCGUUGAUCCUAUUCAGACUAACAACAGCGAAGGCACCUUACGAGAACGGAUCUGACAGUGAGGGAUGAAGGCUAGGGGCGCAAAACGGAUUAGAUACCCGGGUAGUC